GAUGAACGCUGGCGGCGUGCCUAAUACAUGCCAGUCGAGCGAACAGACGAGGAGCUUGCUCCUCUGACGUUAGCGGCGGACGGGUGAGUAACACGUGGAUAACCUACCUAUAAGACUGGGAUAACUUCGGGAAACCGGAGCUAAUACCGGAUAAUAUAUUGAACCGCAUGGUUCAAUAGUGAAAGACGGUUUUGCUGUCACUUAUAGAUGGAUCCGCGCCGCAUUAGCUAGUUGGUAAGGUAACGGCUUACCAAGGCAACGAUGCGUAGCCGACCUGAGAGGGUGAUCGGCCACACUGGAACUGAGACACGGUCCAGACUCCUACGGGAGGCAGCAGUGGGGAAUCUUACGCAAUGGGCGAAAGCCUGACGGAGCAACGCCGCGUGAGUGAUGAAGGUCUUCGGAUCGUAAAACUCUGUUAUUAGGGAAGAACAAAUGUGUAAGUAACUAUGCACGUCUUGACGGUACCUAAUCAGAAAGCCACGGCUAACUACGU
This 496-nucleotide ribosomal RNA is filed under the name uncultured bacterium. RNAcentral describes it as "partial 16S ribosomal RNA". It matches the Rfam family "Bacterial small subunit ribosomal RNA", at positions 28 to 506 of the family's 1533-position model. The record is from RNAcentral.